UACGUAGGGUGCAAGCGUUGUCCGGAAUCAUUGGGCGUAAAGAGCUCGUAGGCGGUCUGUCGCGUCUGCUGUGAAAACCUAGGGCUUAACCCUGGGCCUGCAGUGGGUACGGGCAGACUAGAGUGCGGUAGGGGAGACUGGAAUUCCUGGUGUAGCGGUGAAAUGCGCAGAUAUCAGGAGGAACACCGGUGGCGAAGGCGGGUCUCUGGACCACAACUGACGCUGAGGCGCGAAAGCUAGGGGAGCAAACAGG
This 253-nucleotide ribosomal RNA is filed under the name uncultured bacterium. RNAcentral describes it as "partial 16S ribosomal RNA". It matches the Rfam family "Bacterial small subunit ribosomal RNA", at positions 524 to 776 of the family's 1533-position model. The record is from RNAcentral.